UGAAUCCACGCUCCUUUCCCCAAACCAGAGCAAAGCAAGGAAGCACCACCCGCUUAAUUCCCUUCCCCUCGCUCGCUCCCACACGUCGCGCCUCCCCUCUUCCUCCCUCGCUCGGAUCCACCACCGCUCCUACCUAAAAAACUCGCCACCUUCCAUGAAAUCGGCCACCCCCAAGGACAGAAUACCGCCACUUCCAUGAAAGUAUCGCACCGGAGUCGGACCCACGUACCCACGACGCGUCAACGACGGCCCCCCACGCGCUUCCUUCCCGGAAAAUGCCGGUGCGAGGAGCCGCGUGCUAAUAUAUAGGCACGGCGGAGCUGGUGGUGGUGGUGGGAGAUCGGAGAGGGCUUCCUUGGUUGGUUUGACAGGGAGAGCAAGCAGGGACGCCCGCCAUGGAGAGCUACCUCAACGAGAACUUCGGGGGCGUCAAGCCCAAGCACUCGUCCCACGAGGCGCUGGGCCGAUGGCGCAAGGUCGUCGGCGUCGUCAAGAACCCCAAGCGCCGCUUCCGCUUCACCGCCAACCUCGGCAAGCGCUCCGAGGCCGCCGCCAUGAAGCGGACCAACCAGGAGAAGCUGCGUGUUGCUGUGCUUGUUUCAAAGGCUGCGCUUCAGUUCAUCCAUGGCCUCGCUCCCCAGAGCGAGUACACAGUCCCUGCUGCUGUCAAGGCAGCAGGCUAUGGCAUCUGUGCUGAGGAACUGAGCUCUGUUGUCGAGAGCCACGACAUCAAGAAGUUGAAAGCACAUGGCGGCACUGAGGGCCUCUUAUCAAAGGUGUCUACCUCAGAGUCGGAUGGCGUCAGCACAUCCAAGGACAAGCUUGCAUCCCGGCAGGAGAUCUUUGGCAUCAACAAAUUCGCCGAGACGGAGGCCCGCAGCUUCUGGGUCUUUGUCUGGGAGGCGCUCCAGGACAUGACACUCAUGAUCCUUGCUGCAUGUGCCUUCUUCUCGCUUGUCGUCGGCAUUGCCACCGAGGGGUGGCCCAAGGGCGCGCAUGAUGGCCUCGGCAUCGUGGCUAGUAUUCUUCUGGUUGUGUUUGUCACUGCGACAAGCGACUACCGGCAAUCCCUGCAGUUCAAGGACCUUGACAAGGAGAAGAAGAAGAUCACGGUGCAGGUCACCCGGAGUGGGUACCGGCAGAAGCUCUCGAUAUAUGAGCUUCUCGUUGGUGACAUUGUGCACCUUUCCAUUGGUGAUCAAGUACCAGCUGACGGUUUGUUCGUAUCAGGAUUCUCAUUGCUGAUUAAUGAAUCAAGCCUGACUGGGGAGAGUGAACCAGUUGCUGUCAAUGCCGAGAACCCAUUCCUUUUGUCAGGAACUAAAGUGCAGGAUGGUUCUUGCAAGAUGCUUGUGACAACAGUCGGCAUGAGGACUCAAUGGGGUAAACUCAUGGCCACCCUCAGUGAAGGAGGGGAUGAUGAGACGCCAUUGCAGGUCAAGCUGAACGGCGUUGCAACCAUCAUUGGCAAAAUAGGCCUCGUCUUUGCUGUUGUCACAUUUGCAGUGCUCACUGAAAGCCUGUUCCGACGCAAGAUCAUGGAUGGGUCGUACUUGAGUUGGAGUGGAGAUGAUGCACUGGAGCUGCUUGAGUUCUUUGCUAUUGCUGUUACCAUUGUUGUCGUAGCAGUUCCUGAAGGCUUACCGCUCGCCGUGACCUUGAGCCUUGCUUUUGCCAUGAAGAAGAUGAUGAAUGACAAGGCACUUGUCCGACACCUGGCAGCCUGUGAGACCAUGGGCUCAGCAACCUCCAUUUGCAGCGACAAGACUGGCACACUCACAACGAAUCACAUGACUGUCGUCAAGGCUUGCAUCUGUGGCAAAAUUAAAGAAGUGGAUAAAUCUUCAAACACCAAGAGCUUAUUCUCUGAGCUACCGGAUUCUGUCAUGACAAUGCUCUCGCAGUCCAUAUUUAACAACACUGGUGGCGAUGUUGUCAUCAACCAGGAUGGCAAACGCGAAAUACUGGGCACACCAACAGAGACAGCAAUUCUAGAGCUUGGCCUGUCACUCGGUGGAGAUUUCCAGGCAGUGCGAAAAGCAACCACCCUCCUCAAAGUCGAGCCAUUUAACUCAGCGAAGAAGAGAAUGGGAGUGGUCAUCCAGCUGCCAGGGGGCGCAUUCCGUGCUCACUGCAAAGGUGCAUCAGAGAUCAUAUUGGCAUCUUGCAGCAAGUACCUGAAUGAUCAAGGCAAUGCCGUCCCCCUUGACAGUGCAACUAUUGCUCACUUGAAUGCCACGAUCGAGAGCUUUGCAAAUGAGGCACUUCGCACUCUGUGCCUUGCUUACAUUGAAGUUGCACAAGGGUUCUCAGCUAAUGAUGCGAUUCCUGAAGAGGGGUACACAUGCAUUGGCAUUGUUGGGAUUAAAGACCCAGUGCGCCCGGGUGUGAAGGAAUCCGUCGCCAUCUGCAGGUCAGCCGGUAUUACUGUCAGGAUGGUCACAGGCGACAACAUUAACACAGCAAAGGCAAUUGCCCGGGAAUGUGGCAUUCUGACUGAAGGUGGUCUUGCCAUUGAAGGCCCAGAUUUUAGAACUAAGAGUGCAGAAGAAAUGUUCAAAUUGAUACCAAAGAUACAGGUAAUGGCUAGGUCUUCACCACUUGACAAGCACACCUUAGUGAAGAAUCUCCGGACCACACAUGAAGAAGUUGUUGCGGUGACUGGUGACGGGACAAAUGAUGCACCUGCACUUCAUGAGGCUGAUAUUGGACUUGCGAUGGGCAUUGCUGGAACUGAGGUUGCGAAAGAGAGUGCCGAUGUCAUCAUUCUUGAUGACAACUUCUCCACCAUAGUCACAGUUGCCAAAUGGGGUCGAUCUGUGUACAUCAACAUUCAGAAGUUUGUGCAGUUUCAACUGACAGUCAACGUGGUUGCCCUCGUUGUGAACUUCUCGUCAGCCUGCUUGACAGGGAGUGCUCCCCUCACUGCUGUUCAGUUGCUGUGGGUCAAUAUGAUCAUGGACACACUCGGAGCAUUGGCAUUGGCCACAGAACCUCCAAACGAUGAACUGAUGAAGAGGACUCCCGUUGGAAGGAAAGGAAACUUCAUUAGCAACAUUAUGUGGAGGAACAUCAUGGGACAGGCAAUCUACCAGUUCUUUGUAAUUUGGUAUCUGCAGACCGAAGGAAAGACGUUGUUUGAACUUAAGGGUGAUAAUUCCGAUCUAGUCCUGAACACGCUCAUCUUCAAUUGCUUUGUGUUCUGCCAGGUGUUCAACGAGGUGAGCUCCAGAGAGAUGGAGAGGAUAAAUGUAUUCAAAGGCAUUCUAGACAACAACGUGUUUGUCGCGGUGCUCAGCAGCACGGUCGUAUUCCAGAUCAUCAUAGUACAGUUCCUUGGCGACUUUGCGAACACCACCCCUCUGUCGCUCAGGGAGUGGUUCUCCUGCAUUGUCAUCGGCUUCAUAGGCAUGCCCAUCGCCGCGAUAGUCAAGCUCUUCCCGGUGGGUUCUCAGUAGGAGACGCCAGCUAAUUUGCAGUCAGGAACUGAAGUGAGGUGGUAGGACUACAGGCUGACGGCGAUGCCAACGCAGUUUGGGCGCUGUGUUGCCACUUUGACCAGGGAUCUGUUGCAAUCCAAAUGCCACCGUCGUAAGCAUUGAGCAGAACAGAACAGUGUGGGUGCUUGUGCAGCAGCAUAGGGGGAUUGGCGGUUAGCUUCUUUUGGCGCCCAGCCUUAUCUCCGCAUCACAGGCGAUUGACACAGAGGCAGCUUGCUUCCAUCACUGCUGUCGCCCGGCGCCCGUAUCAAAUGUUUUUGACCAGUCAAGGCAAGCAUCGUGUGUACCACAACAACUCCUACUGCCGCACAAGCACAAGCACAAGGCGGCAGGAAGCAGCGGCCACUUGGGAUAGAUAAAAUUCCAACAGCGUCAGCCAAUAGCUGCCGACCUGUUUUUUUUUUUUGUGUGUGUGUGUUUUACCGGCUGCCAGCCAGGCACAAGACAGCCGAGCAAAGGCAGUAAGGGCAACUCCAGCGCACGACCUCAAACGGACGUCCGUUUGACUCGGAUUCUAUUCGUUUGGGGUGGGCAAUGAGGUCGUGUCUGAACCA
Molecule: RNA transcript, 4054 nt
Organism: Triticum dicoccoides
Lineage: Eukaryota; Viridiplantae; Streptophyta; Magnoliopsida; Poales; Poaceae
Gene name: calcium-transporting ATPase 10, plasma membrane-type-like
Exons: 8
Source: RefSeq, a predicted model, not a curated record